ACGCUAGCGGCAGGCCUUAUACAUGCAAGUCGAACGGUAACAUUGGUGCUUGCACCAGAUGACGAGUGGCGCACGGGUGCGUAACGCGUAUGCAACCUACCUUUUACUAGAGUAUAGCCCAGAGAAAUUUGGAUUAAUCCUCUAUAACAUCUUUUAAUUUCAUGAUUAAUAGAUUAAAGUUUUAAUGGUAAAAGAUGGGCAUGCGUCCUAUUAGUUUGUAGGUGAGGUAACGGCUCACCUAGACUACGAUAGGUAGGGGCCCUGAGAGGGGGAUCCCCCACACUGGUACUGAGACACGGACCAGACUCCUACGGGAGGCAGCAGUAAGGAAUAUUGGACAAUGGACGAAAGUCUGAUCCAGCCAUGCCGCGUGCAGGAUGAAAGCCCUAUGGGUUGUAAACUGCUUUUAUACAGGAAGAAAAACUCCGACGUGUCGGAGCUUGACGGUACUGUAAGAAUAA
This 461-nucleotide ribosomal RNA is filed under the name uncultured Flavobacteriaceae bacterium. RNAcentral's name for it is "bacterial SSU rRNA". It matches the Rfam family "Bacterial small subunit ribosomal RNA", at positions 33 to 489 of the family's 1533-position model. Lineage: Bacteria; Pseudomonadati; Bacteroidota; Flavobacteriia; Flavobacteriales; Flavobacteriaceae. The record is from RNAcentral.